GUACUGUUUAGAACCAGGGUAUAAAUUAAGAUGAACCAUCCUAGUACAGCACAGACUGAUCUCAUAAUGAUUGCAGGACAAAUCUGUGUUUUUGGGCUGCUGCUCUGCACAGCUGUAUUAAGCACAUCAGUACCAGCAGGCAGACCAGGAAAAUGCCCACCUGAGAGGUUAUUGGCACAUAAUGAUUUCUCCAAAUCUAAAAGAUGUGAAUCUGACUAUAAUUGUGAGGGAAACAAGAAAUGUUGCAUGGACAAUGGCAAAAAAAUCUGCAAACCUCCAGCGCAAGGUAAACCAGGACAUUGCCCACCUGAGAGGUUCUUGGCAGAAACAUAUUUUUUCGGUAAAAUAUGUGAAUCUGAUAGUAAUUGUGAGGGAAAGCAGAAAUGUUGCAUGGACAAUGGUGAUAAAUUCUGCAAAUCUCCAGCACAAGAGAGGCCUGGCACCUGUCCCUAUGGUACAAAUCUGCCACGUGCUACUGAUUUCUGUACCUGAGACAGUGAAUGCGCUGAUGGAUCCAAAUGCUGCUUCAAUGAUGGUGGAAAGACCUGUCUGCCUUUUGUAAAAGAAAAGAUGGGCUCCUGUCCUCCUAGAAAUAUAAUCUAUUGCUUUGUUCCGGUGAGGAACACUUGUACAUCUGACUCCACGUGUCCUGGAGAUUAUAAAUGCUGUCCAUCUGGAUGUCACAGAGAAUGCCUGAAAGCGGUAUAAUAACACCAGAAUAUCCAUCUUUUUACUUGCCUCUAGAACAUGAUCUAGUUCCUGUAAUAAGAAUCAUGUCACUGAUCACAUAUAAAGGAUGUUUCUGUGGGUGCAUUUACAUGUUGUAAAGUUCUUGCUUCUGUGGGUUUCUGGGUAAACUUACAGUCCCCAUAUGUAUUAUUCUGCGUUUGGGGUACGUCAAUGAAAAAUAAAGUUCUGAAGUGUAAACAAUAAGUUCUCUGGCUUAUUAU
Xenopus laevis (African clawed frog) is the source of this 950-nucleotide long non-coding RNA. RefSeq lists it as uncharacterized. Lineage: Eukaryota; Metazoa; Chordata; Amphibia; Anura; Pipidae. The transcript has 6 exons. The record is from RefSeq and is a predicted model, not a curated record.